UACAACAUCGAUUGAUACUCUCUGGUGAGA
Molecule: non-coding RNA, 30 nt
Filed under: Mus musculus (house mouse)
Lineage: Eukaryota; Metazoa; Chordata; Mammalia; Rodentia; Muridae
Source: RNAcentral